This is a long non-coding RNA of Oreochromis niloticus (Nile tilapia), 358 nucleotides long. RefSeq lists it as uncharacterized. Lineage: Eukaryota; Metazoa; Chordata; Actinopteri; Cichliformes; Cichlidae. The transcript has 2 exons. The record is from RefSeq and is a predicted model, not a curated record.
UAUAACAUUAAAAUUCAAUCAAAUAUCAAAUGUACGAUUAUGUUUUCACAGUGAAGGUCAGAUAUCCGAGUGUAAGUGAAUGCAGCAUUGGCUUCUGCACUAUGAGCAUCACGUUAGCAAAGGAAGGAGAGCCAAGCACGAAAGAUGGUACCGCAGAAAACAAUUUUGGGCGAAAGAUAAGGAGGAGAGAAUAAAUGUCCUGGGCAGACCAGAAGAAUAGGAAGAAUGAAAAGAUCUCAAAAUGUUGAGAAUUUCUUCCUUAAGAAGGCUAAAAUACAACCAGAAGCAGAGAGCAAUGUCAGGGAAAGGUGGACUGAGCAGCAGUCAUCAUUGUCACCUGUGAGUUCUACAAAUGAAG